UAAAUUAUAAAUGAUUAUAAUAAUUAAAAUUUUAUAAAAUAAAAUUAUAUAAAUAAAUAAAUAAAGAUUUGUAGUAUAAAUUAUUUUUUAAAUAAAGUAAUAUAAAGAUUUUAUAGUUAAAGUAUAAAGUAAGAAUAAAUAAAAUUAAUAUUAGUGAUAGUAAUGAAAAUGAUUUUUUGAAAAAAAUGAAAAAGUAAAUUUUAUAUAUUGUACCUUUUGUAUAAGGGUUAAUUAAAUAAAAUAUUUAAAUUGAAAUAUUUCUCGAAUUUAAAAGAUUUAUUUAAAAAUUUUAGUUAAUGUAGAAAUAUUAUUAAUAAUUUUUAAAUAGAAGUGAAAUGUUAAUCGAUUUUAAAUAUAUCUAGUUUUUUUAGAAUUGAAUAUAAUUCAGAUUUAUAAAUUAUAUAAAUAAAAAUUAUAUUUGUUUAUAUAAUUUUAUAAAUUAAAUAUUUUUGGGAUAAGCUAGAAAUAUAUAUAAAUAAUUAAUUUUAAUAUUAAGUAAUAAAAAUAUUCAUAAAAUUUGAAUUUUUUAAUAAAAAUGUUAUAAUUUAUAAUAAAAUUAAUUAAUAAAUUUAAAAUAAAAUUUUUAUUUUUAUAAAAAAAAAUUAUUUAAUAAUAAAGUAAUUGAUAUAAUGAUUAAAUUAGUAAAUUUAUAAGAAAAAUAUUAAUAUAAGAUUAAUAAUUAAAUUUUAAAUUUAUAUUAAGGAAUUCGACAAAAAUUUUAUUUUAUUAAAAAUAUAUUCACCUGUUUAUCAAAAACAUGGCUUAUUUGAUAAAAAUAAUAGGUCUAUUCUGCCCAUUGAUUAAAAUUAAAAGGCUGCAGUAUAUUGACUGUACAAAGGUAGCAAAAUCAUUUGUUUUUUAAUUGAAAACUGGAAUGAAAGAGUGGAUGAAAUAUAAAUUGUCUCAAUAUAAAAAUAUUGAAUUUAAAUUAAAAGUUAAAAUGCUUUUAUAUAUUUAUAAGACGAUAAGACCCUAUAGAAUUUAAUAAUGUUUAUUUUUUAAAAUUAAUAUAUUAAUAAAAUUUAAUAGGUAAAUAUAUUUUAUUGGGAGGAUAGUUAAAUAAAUUAAACUUUAAUAUUAUUAUAACAUAGAUUAAUGAAUUAAUUAAUUGAUUAUUUUUAUAAUUAUUAGAAUAAAUUACCUUAGGGAUAACAGCGUUAUAAUUUUGGAGAGUUCAUAUUGAUAAAAUUGUUUGCGACCUCGAUGUUGAAUUAUGAUAAAAGUUAAGUGGAGAAAUUUAAAUUUUUAGUCUGUUCGACUAUUAAAAUCAUACAUGAUUUGAGUUCAGAUCGGUGAAAGCCAGAUCGGUUUCUAUCUAUAAAAAAAAAUUAUUUUAUUGUACGAAAGGACUUAAAAUAUUAAAUAUUUUAUUAAAAAUUAAUAAUUAUAUUAAUUUUAAUGAAUAAAAUUAAUUAAUUUAUUUAUAAUAUUUAAAAUUGGAUAAAUUGUAAAUUUAUUAGAUAAAUAUGGAAUAUAAAUAAAGGUUAAAUUUUGUAGGUAUAUAUAUUAAAUUUAAGAUUAAGUGGAAUAGAUUGAUAAGAUAAUAAAUUUA
This 1552-nucleotide ribosomal RNA is filed under the name Vespa velutina nigrithorax. RNAcentral's name for it is "16S ribosomal RNA". The record is from RNAcentral. Lineage: Eukaryota; Metazoa; Arthropoda; Insecta; Hymenoptera; Vespidae.